GCAAUGAGUUGUUAUGCUUAUACAUUUGGGUGAAUUAAAUUUUUAUACUCAGUUGACUGAAAAAUUAAGAAUAUAGCAUUGAUAAGUGUAUAAUUAGUUCUCUCUCAUCAACUUUUAUAAGUGUACAAAAAUAUCCUUUCGCAUCUAACAAAUUAUUUAGCGAGAUAAUGAUAUAAGUAUCGGCAAUACUGUUUAUCAAAUACAUAAGUAAAAUUAUGUUAUAAGUUAGAUGAAUAACUAUUUAAUUACCAUGAUAACAAUAUAUAUAUACGUAUAAGUUUAUAAAUAUAUCGUGUUAAAUUGUUUUGUAUCGCGAUAAUUUAUGAUUUGUGUGAUAAGUUUAUAUUUACCGUGUUAAAUCUAAAUCCUAACCACUAUUUUAUCAACCCAAACCGAUAUAUAAUUUCGUUUUAAUUGUAAAAUCUAAACCCUAAUCACUAUUUUAUCAACCCAAACCGAUAUAUAAUUCGUUUUAAUUGUAAAAUCUAAACCCUAACCACUCCUUUAUAAACCCAAACCGACAAAUAAUUUUGUUUUAAUUGUAAAAUCUAAACUCUAACCACUAUUUUAUCAAUCCAAACCGAUAUAUAAUUUUGUUUUAAUUGUAAAAUCUAAACCCUAACCACUAUUUUAUCAAUCCAAACCGAUAUAUAAUUUCUUUUUAAUUGUAAAAUCUAAACCCUAACCACUAUUUUAUCAACCCAAACCGAUAUAUAAUUUCGUUUUAAUUGUAAAAUCUAAACCCUAACCACUCCUUUAUAAACCCAAACCGACAUAUAAUUUUGUUUUAAUUGUAAAAUCUAAACCCUAAGCCCUAUUUAUAAACCCAAACCGUUAUAUAGUUUUGUUUUAAUUAUAAAAUCUAAACAUCAAAAAUAUAUUUAACCAUGUUUAUUAAAAAUAUACAUAUUUUGUUUCCUUAUUAAAGAUAAUUUAUUUGUUAAGAUAAUAUAUUAUUUUUUAAAUGUAUAAUUAUAUUAAUCGCGCUAACUCAGUUAUCAGCUAACUUAUGAUUAUAGGGUUAAAAUUGUCCAGAAAAAGCAAAACUAAUUAUGGAAUUAUCUUUAACAUAUAAUGAAUAAAACUUUUAUCUAGGUACAUACAAUGCAAUUUCCCUAUACAUUUAGGAAUGAAAAACAUUUUAUAUAUCCUCAAAAAAAAAUUAUUAUAUAGAAAAGAAUCACCAAGUGAUUUAAAGUUUCAUAUAUCCUCAAACAUUUUAUUAUAUAUAUAAAAGAAUCACAAAACAUAAUUAAAAUUGUUAAAUUUAACAUACUCAGACUCAAUUUUGAUGGAUCCAAAACUGUGGUCUCCAAAUUUUGGACAUCUUAAAUUUCCAAAAUUUUGAAUUGAAUCUCUUACCAUGAAUAACAAUUUCACCUAGACAUAUAUUUAUACACCAUCCAAUAAAAAACUUUGACCCAAAAAAAAAAAAAAAAUCAUAUAAAUCACCUUUGCUUAAUUUUCAUCAAAAAAUUGAUCUGUUUUCUUUAAUGACUACAACUGAGAUAUGUAAACGAAUUGUCUGUAAUUAAGGUGGAUUUCUGAUAAUUAAUUCAAUUUGCC
This 1566-nucleotide long non-coding RNA is filed under the name Capsella rubella. RNAcentral describes it as "long non-coding RNA (CRUB_LNC004855)". Lineage: Eukaryota; Viridiplantae; Streptophyta; Magnoliopsida; Brassicales; Brassicaceae. The record is from RNAcentral.